UACGUAGGGUGCGAGCGUUAAUCGGAAUUACUGGGCGUAAAGCGUGCGCAGGCGGUUUUGUAAGCCAGAUGUGAAAUCCCCGGGCUUAACCUGGGAACUGCAUUUGGGACUGCAAGGCUUGAGUACGGCAGAGGGGGGUAGAAUUCCUGGUGUAGCAGUGAAAUGCGUAGAUAUCAGGAAGAACACCCGUGGCUAAGGCGGUUCUCUAGUACGGUACUGACGCUGAGACGCGAAAGCGUGGGGAGCGAACAGG
Molecule: ribosomal RNA, 253 nt
Filed under: uncultured bacterium
Lineage: Bacteria
Description: partial 16S ribosomal RNA
Rfam family: Bacterial small subunit ribosomal RNA
Source: RNAcentral